UUUUUUCUUCUAAUUUUUUUUAACUAAAAGUACUUUUGGGUACUAAAUCAAAUUCCUUCCCAUUUAAAGAGUACAGCAAACCAUUGCAUGUGCAAGGUGCCUACUCAAAUGAAUGGGACUAUACACAUAUGUUACAGGCUCACGUUGUACACGUAAAAUACUGCAGAAAAGAUUUAUAGUCCUUCUAAUUUCAAGAGAGACUAGAUUCUUGAUCCUUCCCAUCUUCAGAAUUGUUUGAUAACUGUUCUCGAACACAAUUAACGAGUUGAGAAGCUCUAUGGUCGAAAUUUAAGGGUCUCCUCCGUAAACUCUCGGUGGUCCAUAAGCAAUCACGUGCCUUACGAGGUAUUAUAUGGAUGUGUGUGUGAAAUAUUACUUGGCCUGCAGCUGCACCAUUAUUAACCAAUAAAUUGAAAGAAUUGGAAUCAGUGGCUUUCAUGAUUGCGUUGCCAAUAAAAGGUACCUUUGAACACAUAGCUGCAACCACAGAUGGAGGAGUGGCUUCCAAGGAAGAAAAAUGAGACUUUGGGAUAAUAAGAGAGUGCCCAUAACUCAGCGGAUUUGUAUCCAAAAUACACAGGCACGUAUCAUCUUCAUAAAGCUUAAAAGCCGGGGAGUCCCCGAGAAUAAUCUUGCAGAAAACGCAGUCGUUUUGCAGAAUCCCCUUGUCGUCAGAAAGGCAGUUAAAAGGGGAAAAAGGGGUAGCACGAGGAGGUAUGGGGCGGAGAUGGGAGCAGAGGAUGGCAAGCCUCCGUGUCUCCAUUCAGGCGAAAUCGGCUAGAUGGUCAAGAAUCGGCAGGGUAGCAAAGUGCGUCGCCAUAAUAAAAUUUUGCAGAGAGAGCGGAGACAAACGGUAGAAAGGUGGAGUGUUUUUUCAAGAGAGGUUACUUUACGGUUGUUGGUUUGCUUAUCCUCU
Molecule: unclassified non-coding RNA, 916 nt
Filed under: Hevea brasiliensis (rubber tree)
Lineage: Eukaryota; Viridiplantae; Streptophyta; Magnoliopsida; Malpighiales; Euphorbiaceae
Source: RNAcentral